Long non-coding RNA from Malania oleifera, 577 nucleotides. RefSeq lists it as uncharacterized. NCBI's taxonomy places the organism in Eukaryota, Viridiplantae, Streptophyta, Magnoliopsida, Santalales, Ximeniaceae. The record is from RefSeq and is a predicted model, not a curated record. The transcript is spliced from 2 exons.
GAACCCGUUUAUUUCCGAUCCUGACCGAAAGCGCCCUGUUAAACGGUUUUGCCAUCCCUAAUUCUUGCGCACAACCCUGGAUUUUACCCUCCAUCGCAUUUUCUCUAUGGCCUCAUGAAUUUUCUCCUAUACUCCAUUGCGCUUUAGAAGUUUAUUUUUCCCCUCCGCCGCGGCCCUCCAUUUCUCCAUUGCUCUCUGGCUGUAGAGAGCUUUUCCCUCCGUGCGCAUCCCUCAAUUUCUCCAUUUACACUCGAGCAAAUUUGCAAAGGUCUCUCCCUCAAAUUUGUGAAGGCACGGGCUUGAAGAGGGAGACUAGCCCUGGUAAAUAGUUCUAGACUGACUUAGACCCUGUUAGGAAAGUUAGGUGCACCAUCUUGGUAAGGCGUGUUGGUUGAGGUCAGAGCCGUGAUUUGACCUAGUUGUAACCAGUGCCGCUCCACCCGUGAAGUGAGCUUUUAGUGGAAUUUUCGGGCUUGCGAGCUAAAGGCGGGGGCGUAGGCAGUAUUGGUCGAACCCCGAUAACAUAUCGUGUGUGCAUUUAAUUUUUUUUCGUAAUUUAUUUAUCGCACGUGUAUGU